UAUUUAUCCUUGAUAUGUUGUUUUGUUUGCUAAAAUACCACAAACUGUGUUUUCAUAUAAUAUAUAGAUUUCAUAUACUGUUUUAAAUGAGAGAUCUUUCACUUGAACAAAAUCUGGGCUAAAGCCUUGUACUCAGUCUCGUGGUGGCUGUGUCGAGUCUUGGUGUUUGGUGUAUCUGAUCGGGCUGAGUGUAGAAAGAGGAAGGCGGUGGAGGCGGUAGCUUGCUGCCCGUUUCUGCUGGCUGGAUUUUGAGAGCAGAGGGAGACGGCAGCAUCUCCGCCGUGGCCGAGGAAGGAGACGGCGCCGUGUGGGGCGGCGUCAACCCAAAUCGGAGGGAGGAGGCGGCGCUCUCGCCGUCUCCAAGGAAGGAGGCGGCACGGAGGUGUGAGGUGUGGGUUCGGUUUUGUGAGGAAGGAGGAGAGGGGCCGAGAGAGGCCUGGCGGCGGUCGGCGAUUGCUCUCGUCUGGGAAGGGAGCGGCGCCGCGGAGCCCCUGAGAACAGAGAGAGAGAUGAGAUGGCGGCACCUUGCCGUCGAUCUGAGAGGGGAACGAGGGAGGCGGCGUUCCGGCCGGCGGGUAGCGACUUCACCGGCGGAGCUUGAGAGAGCCGAGAGAGAAAGUCUGGGAUGAAGGAAGAGGCAGCCUAUCGCCGUUGCUCCGACGGGUUCUGAGUGGAGAGCCGAGAGCGAGAGAUCUGCUUUGGUCUCUGUGUGUGUAGCUGUUUUCAAUGGAGAGAUUUCUGCGUGAGGGUGAGAUGAGAAGAAGAAAGGGGUUACAG
Molecule: long non-coding RNA, 777 nt
Filed under: Salvia miltiorrhiza (redroot sage)
Lineage: Eukaryota; Viridiplantae; Streptophyta; Magnoliopsida; Lamiales; Lamiaceae
Description: long non-coding RNA (SMIL_LNC002114)
Source: RNAcentral